UUAAAACGCACAUAUCUGCGA
This 21-nucleotide non-coding RNA is filed under the name Caenorhabditis elegans. Lineage: Eukaryota; Metazoa; Nematoda; Chromadorea; Rhabditida; Rhabditidae. The record is from RNAcentral.